Molecule: ribosomal RNA, 253 nt
Filed under: uncultured bacterium
Lineage: Bacteria
Description: partial 16S ribosomal RNA
Rfam family: Bacterial small subunit ribosomal RNA
Source: RNAcentral
UACGGAGGGUGCAAGCGUUAUCCGGAUUCACUGGGUUUAAAGGGUGCGUAGGUGGGUCUGUAAGUCAGUGGUGAAAUCUUCAAGCUUAACUUGGAAACUGCCAUGGAUACUAUUUGUCUUGAAUGUUGUGGAGGUAAGCGGAAUAUGUCAUGUAGCGGUGAAAUGCUUAGAUAUGACAUAGAACACCAAUUGCGAAGGCAGCUUACUACACAAAUAUUGACGCUGAGGCACGAAAGCGUGGGGAUCAAACAGG